CUGUAAUUUCAUAUUCCUCCACUUUUGAUCCCUCAUUUUACGUGUCAGUAUGCAGAUUCUGCUGACGUGGUGGAAUGGGGAUCAAAAGUGGAAGAAUCUGAAAUUACAG
Molecule: microRNA precursor, 109 nt
Filed under: Medicago truncatula (barrel medic)
Lineage: Eukaryota; Viridiplantae; Streptophyta; Magnoliopsida; Fabales; Fabaceae
Description: MIR5284 microRNA precursor family
Rfam family: MIR5284 microRNA precursor family
Source: Rfam by way of RNAcentral